RNAcentral lists this ribosomal RNA (532 nucleotides) under uncultured bacterium. RNAcentral's name for it is "bacterial SSU rRNA". It matches the Rfam family "Bacterial small subunit ribosomal RNA", at positions 776 to 1308 of the family's 1533-position model. The record is from RNAcentral.
AAAUAGAUACCCCGGUAGUCCACGCCGUAAACGAUGUCGACUUGGAGGUUGUGCCCUUGAGGCGGUGGCUUCCGGAGCUAACGCGUUAAGUCGACCGCCUGGGGAGUACGGCCGCAAGGUUAAAACUCAAAUGAAUUGACGGGGGCCCGCACAAGCGGUGGAGCAUGUGGUUUAAUUCGAUGCAACGCGAAGAACCUUACCUACUCUUGACAUCCAGAGAACUUGCCAGAGAUGGCUUGGUGCCUUCGGGAACUCUGAGACAGGUGUUGCAUGGCUGUCGUCAGCUCGUGUUGUGAAAUGUUGGGUUAAGUCCCGCAACGAGCGCAACCCUUACCCUUGUUGCCAGCGGUUAGGCCGGGAACUCAAAGGAGACUGCCAGUGAUAAACUGGAGGAAGGUGGGGAUGACGUCAAGUCAUCAUGGCCCUUACGAGUAGGGCUACACACGUGCUACAAUGGCGCAUACAAAGAGAAGCGACCUCGCGAGAGCAAGCGGACCUCAUAAAGUGCGUCGUAGUCCGGAUUGGAGUCUGC